Molecule: ribosomal RNA, 760 nt
Filed under: Bacillus safensis
Lineage: Bacteria; Bacillati; Bacillota; Bacilli; Caryophanales; Bacillaceae
Also listed under: 1 other name
Description: bacterial SSU rRNA
Rfam family: Bacterial small subunit ribosomal RNA
Source: RNAcentral
GAAGGGAGCUUGCUCCCGGAUGUUAGCGGCGGACGGGUGAGUAACACGUGGGUAACCUGCCUGUAAGACUGGGAUAACUCCGGGAAACCGGAGCUAAUACCGGAUAGUUCCUUGAACCGCAUGGUUCAAGGAUGAAAGACGGUUUCGGCUGUCACUUACAGAUGGACCCGCGGCGCAUUAGCUAGUUGGUGGGGUAAUGGCUCACCAAGGCGACGAUGCGUAGCCGACCUGAGAGGGUGAUCGGCCACACUGGGACUGAGACACGGCCCAGACUCCUACGGGAGGCAGCAGUAGGGAAUCUUCCGCAAUGGACGAAAGUCUGACGGAGCAACGCCGCGUGAGUGAUGAAGGUUUUCGGAUCGUAAAGCUCUGUUGUUAGGGAAGAACAAGUGCGAGAGUAACUGCUCGCACCUUGACGGUACCUAACCAGAAAGCCACGGCUAACUACGUGCCAGCAGCCGCGGUAAUACGUAGGUGGCAAGCGUUGUCCGGAAUUAUUGGGCGUAAAGGGCUCGCAGGCGGUUUCUUAAGUCUGAUGUGAAAGCCCCCGGCUCAACCGGGGAGGGUCAUUGGAAACUGGGAAACUUGAGUGCAGAAGAGGAGAGUGGAAUUCCACGUGUAGCGGUGAAAUGCGUAGAGAUGUGGAGGAACACCAGUGGCGAAGGCGACUCUCUGGUCUGUAACUGACGCUGAGGAGCGAAAGCGUGGGGAGCGAACAGGAUUAGAUACCCUGGUAGUCCACGCCGUAAACGAUGAGUGC